CCCAGACUCCUACGGGAGGCAGCAGUGGGGGAUAUUGCACAAUGGGGGGAACCCUGAUGCAGCGACGCCGCGUGGGUGAAGGAGCGUUUCGGCGCGUAAAGCCCUAUCGGCAGGGAAGAAGGAGGACGGUACCUGACUAAGAAGCCCCGGCUAACUACGUGCCAGCAGCCGCGGUAAUACGUAGGGGGCAAGCGUUAUCCGGAUUUACUGGGUGUAAAGGGGGCGCAGACGGCAGCGCAAGCCAGGAGUGAAAGCCCGGGGCCCAACCCCGGGACUGCUCUUGGAACUGCGCGGCUGGAGUGCAGGAGGGGCAGGCGGAAUUCCUGGUGUAGCGGUGAAAUGCGUAGAUAUCAGGAGGAACACCGGUGGCGAAGGCGGCCUGCUGGACUGCGACUGACGUUGAGGCCCGAAAGCGUGGGGAGCAAACAGGAUUAGAUACCCGAGUACC
This 448-nucleotide ribosomal RNA is filed under the name uncultured bacterium. RNAcentral's name for it is "partial 16S ribosomal RNA". It matches the Rfam family "Bacterial small subunit ribosomal RNA", at positions 330 to 794 of the family's 1533-position model. The record is from RNAcentral.